AUGCAUAGGACAAGAAAUAAUUUCAGAGAUUUCAAACAAGGCAACCACAUCUUUGUUUCAUCUCUGCCAAACCAGUUUCAAUGUCUUCUUCCAAAUCAAGGCAAAACAAACUCGUGUCCACGUCUUCUUCAUCGAUUAAAAGCCGAAUUGGAAGACUAUGUGGGUGUCUUGCAUUUUGAGCGAUUUUUCAUUGUAGCUUUGCCUUUGCAUCUCCUGUUUUUUCCAAGUACCAUUUAUUUUUCAUUUGUUUAG
This is a non-coding RNA of Vicia faba (fava bean), 252 nucleotides long. The record is from the annotation of a GenBank genome assembly. Lineage: Eukaryota; Viridiplantae; Streptophyta; Magnoliopsida; Fabales; Fabaceae.